UACGUAGGGGGCAAGCGUUAAUCGGAAUUACUGGGCGUAAAGCGUGCGCAGGCGGUCUUGCAAGACAGAUGUGAAAUCCCCGGGCUCAACCUGGGAGCUGCAUUUGUGACUGCAAGGCUGGAGUGCGGCAGAGGGGGAUGGAAUUCCGCGUGUAGCAGUGAAAUGCGUAGAUAUGCGGAGGAACACCGAUGGCGAAGGCAAUCCCCUGGGCCUGCACUGACGCUGAUGCACGAAAGCGUGGGGAGCAAACAGG
RNAcentral lists this ribosomal RNA (253 nucleotides) under uncultured bacterium. Its description in RNAcentral is "partial 16S ribosomal RNA". It matches the Rfam family "Bacterial small subunit ribosomal RNA", at positions 524 to 776 of the family's 1533-position model. The record is from RNAcentral.